This is a long non-coding RNA of Limanda limanda (common dab), 1940 nucleotides long. RefSeq lists it as uncharacterized. The transcript is spliced from 2 exons. NCBI's taxonomy places the organism in Eukaryota, Metazoa, Chordata, Actinopteri, Pleuronectiformes, Pleuronectidae. The record is from RefSeq and is a predicted model, not a curated record.
UCUCCUCUCAGAGAUUCACUGUGAAGUCGUGGUCUCAGCUCUGAAGUCAGACCCCUCACAUCUGAGAGAACUGGAUCUGAGUGUAAACAACCUGCAGGAUUCAGGAGUGAAGCUGCUGUGUUCUGGACUGGAGAGUCCAAACUGUCGACUGGAGACUCUGAGGUCCUUAAAUCCUUCUUCACUUUUCAGACUUUCUUUCUUAUUGUGUCAUUAUUUAUUUAACUUGUCUCAGUUCUGCUCUGCUCACUGUCCCUCAGUCAUCUGUCCCUCACCCAGCCUGUCAGUCACGUCCACCUCAUCAACUCCAUUCACCUGCACUCACCUGCUCCUGAUCACUGAGAAAGUGUCAGUAAAUAACAUGUGGACUGAGGCCGAGCACUCGUCCUCCUCAGGUUUUCAAAAUAAGACACAUUAUUAUAGAAACACGUUGGACAGUUGAUAAGUAUAGAAACAAACAGGAAGGGACAUCAGGAGCCGUCCCUACUUUAAACAGUGUUUAAUUACACAAACCUGCUCAGUGACCAACACACAGAGAAGAAGCUGAUGAAUGAAACAAUGGUCCAACAUGUCUGAUCUGAUAUUUAUCUUCAGGUCACAGACUGGACUGAGGUCAGCAGCAUGUUGAGAGUCUGUGUUGACAUGAUGACGAUCCACAACAACAGGAGGACACAUUCUAAUAUUCAUAUUUCUUUAUCCAGGUUGAUGAACUGCAGUCUGUCAGAGAUCAGCUGUUCUUCUCUGGCUUCAGCUCUGAGGUCAAACCCCUCUCAUCUGAGAGAACUGGAUCUGAGAGGAACCAUCCUGCAGGACUCAGGAGUGAAGGAGCUGCUUGAUCUACAGCAGAGUCCAACCUGUCGACUGGAGACUCUGAGGUGGGGGUGGUCUUAGUGGAGCUGAGUGUGAAGAGGACAGUGUGUGUGGACGGAGGCUGAGCUGUGUCCUGAGGAUCCAGAGGCUGAAGCAGCAGCAGCUUGUGUGUAGUCUCCAAUCUACACAACCCCUAAUCUGCAUGUGUUUGUGAGAUGAAGCCGGAGCACCUGGAGAAAACACGGGGAGAACAUGCAGACUCCACACAGGAAGACCCAUCUGAACCGGAUUCAAACCAGCAACCUUCCUGCCCCGAUUGUGUUUAUUCACAUGAAGAAUGUGUUUAUUGAAAUGACACAACACAAGCAGAAUAUAUAAACCCUCUAUAAAGAGUCACAUACAGUGUGUUUAAGUUUGUCUUUAUUAUUCUCCACCUUUGUCCCUCAGUCUGUCUCCAUGUGUGUAGAUCCACAUUCUGUGUAGAUGUUUGUUUAUGAUCUUAAAGUUCCAAAGAAGGAAGGCUGCCGUGUCUCCAGCUCUCCCACAGCUCUGCUCUUUUUUCUAUCUUGUUGUUAUUGAUUCUUCUUUAUGUUGCAUUGUGCACUCUGACAAAGCGAGCCCUAUCAUCAUAUGUGAUGGAGAACAACUUCUGCUCAGUCUGGUUCAGCUCAUUUGUAAAUGGUGUGUUGAUGGACUGAUCUGAUUGGAUGUUCCUUAGUGGUUAUUCUUUUUUAUGAAUCUACUUCCUGUGUUGAGCGCGAGCUGCUGUUUAAAGACGUGUUUGACCUUUGACCUGAGCUGACCCGACAGUUCACUGUGACGAAGAGGAUGAAGAUGUGUAGUAUGCAGGCACGUGCACAGACAUUUUGGGGGGCAGGUGCUCAAACCAAAAAAAAAGGGCACCCAUCGCCAAAAUUGUUUAUGAAAUUGAAAAUAAUGAUAAUAAAUCAAUAAAAACUUUCUCAUUCUCCCUCAUUUGUUUUAAUUGUUGAUGGCCUGAUCCAAUAUAAAAUAGAGAUGCUACCCUGAGCUGCUUGUUGCAGUUCCCUAUCCUUCUGCUUUUGGAGUCUGUCUUUUCUUGGCAUUAUGCUGCAAAUUUUGUAAAUGAGAUAAAUAAAUGUUGUGCAUAAUAA